Molecule: long non-coding RNA, 728 nt
Organism: Oreochromis aureus
Lineage: Eukaryota; Metazoa; Chordata; Actinopteri; Cichliformes; Cichlidae
Source: Ensembl
GUGGUUUUCACACAGCUGAAUAAACGUCAAACAGAAAACUGAUUAAACAGAAGUGUGAGACGGUCGAGAAUUUACGCCAGUGUCCUGUUAUAUUUUAGAUAGCAAGGAGCAGACGGCCGAGUUUAUUAAACUCCACCGAGACAGCGGUGACGUUAAUCAGAAGGCUAGACCGUCCAAUUUUACUUCCGGCCUACCCGACCUUCUGAGGACCCUACUUCAACUGAUAUAAGAGAUAUUAAAGAUCACCAUGAGGCUGCUGAUUGUGUUUGCACUUCUUUGUGUAAUGGUCCCUCUGAUCAUUACUGCUCAAAAAUCGGGCAGCAGUGGAGCAGAGGAUAAGCCACCAGAAGAGCAUCUUGUUGACAAGAGAAGCCGGGGGCUUUGGCGCAGAGCUUUUAGUGUCUUUGGAUACGGGAAAAAGGUGGACGAAUGAUAUGUACGGUCACCACUGAUACCGAUUUUGUCUGGGUCUGAAAAAGAAGAUGAUCCCUGGUCUUCCAUGAAAAGCCAUGGCCACCAGACAAAGAAGCAAAUCAUUUCAUCCAACCCUAAACUAUCAGUUUCCCUCUUAGAUCUUUACUUAUUUCCUUUCGCUGUACUGCUACAUAAUGAAUUUGGCAACAAGUGACACAAACUGGAGUGGACUGGACCGUGUCUUCUAAUAGCAAUAGCUGUUCAUUUCUGUUCUUAUUAUCUUCAUCAUUAAACUCUUAAGCAUUAAAUCAAAU